Molecule: ribosomal RNA, 293 nt
Filed under: uncultured bacterium
Lineage: Bacteria
Description: partial 16S ribosomal RNA
Rfam family: Archaeal small subunit ribosomal RNA
Source: RNAcentral
GUGCCAGCCGCCGCGGUAAUACCGGCAGCCCAAGUGAUGGCCGCUGUUAUUGGGCCUAAAGCGUCCGUAGCUGGCCGCACAAGUCCGUCGGGAAAUCCGCCCGCUCAACGGGCGGCCGUCCGGCGGAACCUGUGUGGCUUGGGACCGGAAGGCUCGAAGGGUACGUUCGGGGUAGGAGUGAAAUCCCAUAAUCCCGCACGGACCACCGAUGGCGAGAGCACUUCGAGAAAACGGAUCCGACAGUGAGGGACGAAAGCUGGGAUCUCGAACCGGAUUAGAAACCCUUGUAGUCC